Molecule: ribosomal RNA, 434 nt
Filed under: uncultured Lachnospiraceae bacterium
Lineage: Bacteria; Bacillati; Bacillota; Clostridia; Lachnospirales; Lachnospiraceae
Description: partial 16S ribosomal RNA
Rfam family: Bacterial small subunit ribosomal RNA
Source: RNAcentral
ACGGGAGGCAGCAGUGGGGAAUAUUGGACAAUGGGGGAAACCCUGAUCCAGCGACGCCGCGUGAGUGAAGAAGUAUUUCGGUAUGUAAAGCUCUAUCAGCAGGGAAGAUGAUGACGGUACCUGACUAAGAAGCCCCGGCUAACUACGUGCCAGCAGCCGCGGUAAUACGUAGGGGGCAAGCGUUAUCCGGAUUUACUGGGUGUAAAGGGAGCGUAGGCGGCCAGACAAGUCAGAUGUGAAAACCCGGGGCUCAACUCCGGGACUGCAUUUGAAACUGUGUGGCUAGAGUACUGGAGAGGCAAGCGGAAUUCCUAGUGUAGCGGUGAAAUGCGUAGAUAUUAGGAGGAACACCAGUGGCGAAGGCGGCUUACUGGACGAUAACUGACGUUGAGGCUCGAAAGCGUGGGGAGCAAACAGGAUUAGAUACCCUGGUA